RNAcentral lists this non-coding RNA (117 nucleotides) under Pongo abelii (Sumatran orangutan). The record is from Rfam by way of RNAcentral. Lineage: Eukaryota; Metazoa; Chordata; Mammalia; Primates; Hominidae.
GCCGGGCAUGGUGGCUCAUGCCUGUAAUCCCACCACUUUGGGAGGCUGAGGCAGGUGGAUCAUUUGAGGUCAGGAGUUUGAGACCAGCCUGGCCAACAUGGUGAAACCCUGUCUCUA